This 253-nucleotide ribosomal RNA is filed under the name uncultured bacterium. RNAcentral describes it as "partial 16S ribosomal RNA". It matches the Rfam family "Bacterial small subunit ribosomal RNA", at positions 524 to 776 of the family's 1533-position model. The record is from RNAcentral.
UACGUAGGGGGCAAGCGUUGUCCGGAUUUAUUGGGCGUAAAGAGCGUGUAGGCGGCCACACAGGUCUGCUGUGAAAACUCGAGGCUCAACCUCGAGCUGUCGGUGGAAACCGUGUGGCUAGAGUCCGGAAGAGGAGAGUGGAAUUCCCGGUGUAGCGGUGAAAUGCGCAGAUAUCGGGAAGAACACCCGUGGCGAAGGCGGCUCUCUGGGACGGUACUGACGCUGAGGAGCGAAAGCGUGGGGAGCAAACAGG